RNAcentral lists this transfer RNA (73 nucleotides) under Stegodyphus mimosarum. It matches the Rfam family "tRNA". From Rfam's summary of the family: Transfer RNA (tRNA) molecules are approximately 80 nucleotides in length. The record is from Rfam by way of RNAcentral. Lineage: Eukaryota; Metazoa; Arthropoda; Arachnida; Araneae; Eresidae.
GCCUUCAUGGUGUAGUGGUCAGCACGCUGGGCAGGUAUUCCAGGGGUCGGUGGUUCGAGUCCCGGCGAAGGCG